This 774-nucleotide ribosomal RNA is filed under the name Lactococcus sp. Ir-LGT-MS-1. RNAcentral describes it as "bacterial SSU rRNA". It matches the Rfam family "Bacterial small subunit ribosomal RNA", at positions 429 to 1199 of the family's 1533-position model. The record is from RNAcentral. Lineage: Bacteria; Bacillati; Bacillota; Bacilli; Lactobacillales; Streptococcaceae.
ACACCUGUUUGUUGAGAAGCCGUUAAGUAGAGUGGAAAAUUACUUAAGUGACGGUAUCUAACCAGAAAGGGACGGCUAACUACGUGCCAGCAGCCGCGGUAAUACGUAGGUCCCAAGCGUUGUCCGGAUUUAUUGGGCGUAAAGCGAGCGCGGGUGGUUUCUUAAGUCUGAUGUAAAAGGCAAUGGCUCAACCAUUGUGUGCAUUGGAAACUGGGAGACUUGAGUGCAGGACAGGAAAGUGGAAUUCCAUGUGUUGCGGUCAAAUGCCUAGAUAUUGGGAGGAACCCCCAACGCGAAAAACCCUCUCUGGCCUGUAAGAGACCCUGUGGUUGCCACCCGUGGGGAGCAAACAGGAUUAUUUACUCUGGUAAUCCACGCCGUAAACGAUGAGUGCUAGCUGUAGGGAGCUAUAAGUUCUCUGUAGCGCAGCUAACGCAUUAAGCACUCCGCCUGGGGAGUACGACCGCAAGGUUGAAACUCAAAGGAAUUGACGGGGGCCCGCACAAGCGGUGGAGCAUGUGGUUUAAUUCUAAGCAACGCGAAGAACCUUACCAGGUCUUGACAUACUCGUGCUAUCCUUAUAGAUAAGGAGUUUCUUCGCGACACCGGAUACAGGUGGUGCAUGGAUGUCGCCAGCUCGUGUCUUGAGAUGAUGGGUUAAGUCCCGCAACGAGCGCAACCCUUAUUACUAGUUGCCGUCAUUAAUUUGGGCGCUCCACUGUGAGUGCCGGUGAUGAACCUGAGGAAGGUUGGGAUGACGUAAAUCGUCUUGCU